Molecule: ribosomal RNA, 478 nt
Filed under: Hafnia sp. RX229
Lineage: Bacteria; Pseudomonadati; Pseudomonadota; Gammaproteobacteria; Enterobacterales; Hafniaceae
Description: bacterial SSU rRNA
Rfam family: Bacterial small subunit ribosomal RNA
Source: RNAcentral
AGAGUUUGAUCCUGGCUCAGAUUGAACGCUGGCGGCAGGCCUAACACAUGCAAGUCGAGCGGUAGCACAAGAGAGCUUGCUCUCUGGGUGACGAGCGGCGGACGGGUGAGUAAUGUCUGGGAAACUGCCYGAUGGAGGGGGAUAACUACUGGAAACGGUAGCUAAUACCGCAUGACGUCUUCGGACCAAAGUGGGGGACCUUCGGGCCUCACGCCAUCAGAUGUGCCCAGAUGGGAUUAGCUAGUAGGUGGGGUAAUGGCUCACCUAGGCGACGAUCUCUAGCUGGUCUGAGAGGAUGACCAGCCACACUGGAACUGAGACACGGUCCAGACUCCUACGGGAGGCAGCAGUGGGGAAUAUUGCACAAUGGGCGCAAGCCUGAUGCAGCCAUGCCGCGUGUAUGAAGAAGGCCUUCGGGUUGUAAAGUACUUUCAGCGAGGAGGAAGGCAUUGUGGUUAAUAACCACAGUGAAUUGACG